AUACAAAACACACCCUUUAUGACUUAGAAAUUAACUUCAAAAUCAUGCAAAUUGCUUUAGUUAGUGUAAAAGAGAGUGGAAGUUGGUUUUAGAGAUAUUAUGCUUGGUUUUCCUUAUUUUGACAGGGUUAGACGAGAAUUGAAUGAUGGAGAAUGAAGUAGGAAGGAGUUGGACUCAAGAAAGGAUGAAAAAAGGUGCAAAGGAAGAAUCACAGCCACCGCUCAGCACCAGUUUCAGCGCUGAGUGCCAGCUUUAUGAAAAGAGCCACUGCCAUAUGCUUAAGCGCCAACGUAGAGGAGAAAAGUUAGAGUUGCGCAAAUCAUUGAGUGCCAGAUCCAGCGCUGAGCAUUGGCCUUCUCAGAGACAACACUGCCAAACGCUUGGGCAUGAACGCUAAGCGUCCCGCUUGAGUGUCGCACCUACCG
Molecule: long non-coding RNA, 425 nt
Filed under: Vigna radiata
Lineage: Eukaryota; Viridiplantae; Streptophyta; Magnoliopsida; Fabales; Fabaceae
Description: long non-coding RNA (VRAD_LNC015902)
Source: RNAcentral